Molecule: ribosomal RNA, 199 nt
Filed under: uncultured bacterium
Lineage: Bacteria
Description: partial 16S ribosomal RNA
Rfam family: Bacterial small subunit ribosomal RNA
Source: RNAcentral
ACGCUCGACACCUACGGGAGGCAGCAGUCGGGAAUAUUGCGCAAUGGAGGAAACUCUGACGCAGUGACGCCGCGUGCAGGAAGAAGGUUUUCGGAUUGUAAACUGCUUUAGACAGGGAAGAAAAAAGACAGUACCUGUAGAAUAAGCUCCGGCUAACUACGUGCAAGCAGCCGCGGUAAUCUGAGCGGGCUGGCAAGGC